GCCUCAGUAGCUCGUAUAGAAGAGCACGCCCUUGGUAAGGGUGAGGUAGGUGGUGCAAGUCCACCGUGGGGCU
Molecule: transfer RNA, 73 nt
Filed under: Spirochaetes bacterium GWB1_59_5
Lineage: Bacteria; Pseudomonadati; Spirochaetota
Description: tRNA-Thr
Source: RNAcentral